Balaenoptera musculus (blue whale) is the source of this 94-nucleotide long non-coding RNA. RefSeq lists it as uncharacterized. The record is from RefSeq and is a predicted model, not a curated record. The transcript is spliced from 3 exons. Lineage: Eukaryota; Metazoa; Chordata; Mammalia; Artiodactyla; Balaenopteridae.
AAAUUUUAUGAAUUGUUUAUUUCUGAAAUUUUCCAUUUAAUAAUUUCUGACCGUGGUUAACCUCAGGUAACUGAAACCACAGAAAGCAGAAACU